RNAcentral lists this ribosomal RNA (406 nucleotides) under uncultured bacterium. Its description in RNAcentral is "partial 16S ribosomal RNA". It matches the Rfam family "Bacterial small subunit ribosomal RNA", at positions 29 to 526 of the family's 1533-position model. The record is from RNAcentral.
AUUGAACGCUGGCGGCAGGCCUAACACAUGCAAGUCGAACGAGUGGCGGACGGGUGAGUAAUGUCUGGGAAACUGCCCGAUGGAGGGGGAUAACUACUGGAAACGGUAGCUAAUACCGCAUACCAUCGGAUGUGCCCAGAUGGGAUUAGCUAGUAGGGGGGGUAACGGCUCACCGAGGCGAAGAUCCCUAGCUGGUCUGAGCGGAUGACAGGCCAGACUGGAAGUGAGGCACGGGCCAGACUCCUACGGGAGGGAGCAGUGGGGAAUAUUGCACAAUGGGCGCGAGCGUGAUGCAGCCAUGCCGCGGGUAUGAAGAGGGCCUUCGGGUUGUAAAGUACUUUCGGCGAGGAGGCGUUACUCGCAGAAGAGGGACCGGCUAACUCGGUGCCAGCCGCCGCGGUAAUGC